UCCCGACAUCAUAUUAAGGAUCUGGGACGAAAUGAAAGCUUCCCAGCUAGCUACUCGGGAGGUGACAUACCCAGCCCGCAUGCCGACAAUGCAAGUCCUCAUGGAUUCCCUCCGGGACAAUUACCACCUUCGUCUUACUCAGGCGCUGAUUAUCAUUCCUCAGGCGCUGAUUAUCAUUCCGCUUCAUUUCAGCAGCCUCCUACACCG
RNAcentral lists this unclassified non-coding RNA (207 nucleotides) under Hevea brasiliensis (rubber tree). Lineage: Eukaryota; Viridiplantae; Streptophyta; Magnoliopsida; Malpighiales; Euphorbiaceae. The record is from RNAcentral.